AUGGAUAUAGAGAAAAGUAAAAAAGACUGGGAUUAUUAUUCCAAAAAUACAUGUAAAAUCCAUGAUCUUAUGCAUGAUAUUGCGAUGUCUCUUAUGGAAAAGGAAUGUGUUGUUGCAACUAUGAAACCAAGUCAAAUCGAGUUGCUUCCAGAUACUGCUCGGCAUUCAUUUUUGUCAUGUGAAGAAACAAAAAGUAUUUUAAAUGUUUCUAUGGAGAAAGGAUCCCCAGCUAUCCAAACCCUGAUAUGCGACAGUUAUGUGCAACGCCCAUUGCAGCACCUAUCAAAAUACAGCUCUUUGCGUGCCUUGAAGCUUUGGAUAAGAACAAAAUCAUUUCCACUGAAACCAAGUAUCUGCCUCACCUGA
RNAcentral lists this ribosomal RNA (366 nucleotides) under Triticum aestivum (bread wheat). RNAcentral's name for it is "partial small subunit ribosomal RNA". The record is from RNAcentral. Lineage: Eukaryota; Viridiplantae; Streptophyta; Magnoliopsida; Poales; Poaceae.